RNAcentral lists this ribosomal RNA (253 nucleotides) under uncultured bacterium. RNAcentral describes it as "partial 16S ribosomal RNA". It matches the Rfam family "Bacterial small subunit ribosomal RNA", at positions 524 to 776 of the family's 1533-position model. The record is from RNAcentral.
GACAGAGGGUGCAAGCGUUGUUCGGAAUUACUGGGCGUAAAGCGCGUGUAGGCGGCCAUGCAAGUCGGAUGUGAAAGCCCUCGGCUCAACCGGGGAAGUGCACUCGAAACUGCAAGGCUAGAGUCUCGGAGAGGAUCGUGGAAUUCUCGGUGUAGAGGUGAAAUUCGUAGAUAUCGAGAGGAACACCGGUGGCGAAGGCGGCGAUCUGGACGAUGACUGACGCUGAGACGCGAAAGCGUGGGGAGCAAACAGG